CUGUUUGAAUGGUGUCUGUGAGUUUAACAGAACUCAUUUGGCAGGCCAAAACCUGAGAAGAUUCCAAACAGGAAGCGCCCUCUCUGACUAUUUCUUGGCCUUCUUGAUCAUCUCUAUCCAAAACAGGGGAUCUCUGCUGUAACGUGACAUUUUCAAACGCUCCCAUAGGCUCUCAGAAGGCGCCAGAAUGUUGAUUGAUGACUUUGCAGGCCAUGAUUGAAAAACAGUAGCGCAUUUGGAUAGUGGUCGAUCUAAGAACAAUAAGACUGGGGGCGCGUGCACGACUCCAUGUUUUUAUUUUUUCGUCUUACAACGAAAACAGGGUUUCCCGGACGGAAUAUUAUCGCUUUUUUAUGAGAAAAAUCAUAUAAAAAUUGAUUUUAAACAGCGGUUGACAUGCUUCGAAGUACGGUAAUGGAAUAUUUUGACAUUUUUUUGUCACGAAACGCGCUGGGCGCGUCACCCUUCUUUACCCUUCGGAUAGUGUCUUGAACGCACGAACAAAACGCCGCUAUUUGGAUAUAACUAUGGAUUAUUUGGAACCAAACCAACAUUUGUUAUUGAAGUAGAAGUCCUGGGAGUGCAUUCUGACGAAGAACAGCAAAGGGUCUUGCAGCACCGGUCUAGGUCUGCACCCUGGCUGUCUGCCUGUUCUCCAGAGCUGGCCUGCCUACAUCACCUACGUGUCUGACAUAGUCCGAGACCUGCAGGAGAGUGAGAAGAGGAGGGGAGAGAACUCUACCUGUGUCACUCAGACCGCAUGGGCGUCACCCCACCGCCAACAAGUCACAGGAGUGGCAGAUCAAGGCACCCUGACAACCCAUAGGUUGUUUCCAUGGCAACUAGACCAACAGGUCAUCUCCAGUCUCAGUGGAUGAAUAACUCAUCCUCUCCAGCGUCCUGCACAAAGUUUGACAUAUACAGCAACACACAAUCCCUUUCUUCUCCUCCUUCCAGUCUGCUGUCCAUCCCUCUCUCUCUUAGUUCCUGGUCCCCUCCCCUGACCUCUCCUUCUUCUGCCCCUCCGCCUCCUCUUUCUGAUAGUUCAGCCCCUUAGCGCCCUUCUUCUCCUCCAGCCUCCCUUCUUCCUUCUCUGUUUGGUAGGACAACCCCUUCCCUCCCUUCUCUAGCCUCCUCUCCUCUCUUUUCCCUUCCUUCUUCUCCUCCAGCCUCUCAUCCAUUCUCUUUCAGCACAGCCCUUUCUUUCCCUCCUUGUCUUUCUUCCCCUCCUCUCUUAGCAACCUCUCUCCUACCUUCUCAGUCCACCCAGGCUGUCCAUGGCCAUUCCUUUAGGAUGCUGUUCUGCAGGCAGGGGACAGAGAGAAGAGGGGAGAGCAAAGUAUGAGUUCAUGUUGUAGGUACAACCUUUAGUUAACUAAGCAAGUCAGUUAAGAACAAAUUCUUAUUUACAAUGACG
This 1417-nucleotide long non-coding RNA is filed under the name Salmo salar (Atlantic salmon). Its description in RNAcentral is "lncRNA (ENSSSAG00000118724.1)". Lineage: Eukaryota; Metazoa; Chordata; Actinopteri; Salmoniformes; Salmonidae. The record is from RNAcentral.